This 1357-nucleotide unclassified non-coding RNA is filed under the name uncultured Neocallimastigales. RNAcentral's name for it is "partial contains small subunit ribosomal RNA, internal transcribed spacer 1, 5.8S ribosomal RNA, internal transcribed spacer 2, and large subunit ribosomal RNA". The stretch from base 615 to 1357 matches the Rfam family "Eukaryotic large subunit ribosomal RNA", at positions 1 to 629 of the family's 3401-position model. Lineage: Eukaryota; Fungi; Neocallimastigomycota; Neocallimastigomycetes; Neocallimastigales. The record is from RNAcentral.
UGGAAGUAAAAGUGUAAAAGGUUUCGUAGGUGAACUGCGGAAGGAUCAUUAAUAAAUGGCUCUGAUUUGGAGCGCUUAAUAAUCCUACCUUUGUGAAUUUGUUGUUUGAAAUAAUUUUUUUUAAAAUUAUUGAUUGUCUUUCCCUGUUGAAUUGGAGCGUUUUCGGACGUAAGAUUCGCAGGGAUAGUCAGUAAUUUUAAAAGACUUUUUUAAAUUAACUUUGUGUGUAUUCAUUUGUCUAAAAUUAUUUUAUAAUAUAAAAACAACUUUGACAAUGGAUCUCUUGGUUCUCGCAACGAUGAAGAACGCAGCAAAUGCGAUAAGUAUGUGAAUUGCAGAAUACGUGAAUCAUCGAAUCUUCGAACGCAUAUUGCACUUUUUUAGUUUACUAAAAAGUAUGUCUGUUUGAGUAUCAGUAAAUAUCUCAUAAAAACAUUGUUUUUAUGGUUAUGAGUGUUUUACAACGAUACAAGUUGUUUCACUUUAAAUUUUUUUAAAAUUUGAAUUUUUUCUAAUUUAAAAUAAAUUGGAUAAAAUUUCCCGUAAAAAGAAUACCUAAACAUUUUAAUUUAAAUUAGAAACCUUCAAAAAAAAAGGAAAUUUAAUAAAUAACUUGAUCUCAAAUCAGAUAAGAGUACCCGCUGAACUUAAGCAUAUCAAUAAGCGGAGGAAAGAAACUACAAGAUUCCUUAGUAACGGCGAGUGAAGCGGGAAGAGCUCAAAUUGAAAUCUUCAAGUUUUACCUUGACGAAUUGUAGUUUAAAGAAGUGUUUUCUGUUGAAGUUUUGGUAAAGGUUCUUGGAAUAGGACAUCAUAGAGGGUGAGAAUCCGUAUUUGACCAUUAUUUUCAGCUGUGUGAUACACUUUCAAAGAGUCGGAUUGUUUGGAAUGCAGUCCAAAUGGUGGUAAAUUUCAUCUAAAGCUAAUAUUGGCGAGAGACGAUAGCGAACAAUACGUGAGGAAAGAUGAAAAGAACUUGAAAAGAGAGUUAAACAGUACGUGAAAUUGUCAAAAGGAAGCGUUUGACACCAGUGUUGUUUUCUCGAAAAUCAAUUAAAAAGAUUGGAUUUUUGUGUAUUGACUUAACAGCUUUCUUCACUCUUUCUGCUUUUUUAUGCACUUUUCGUUAACAAGUCAACAUCAGUUUCUUUGUUGUAAAAGGUCAUUGAAGGUGGCUUUCUUUCGGAGAAAGUGUUUAUAGCCUUUGAUCUCUGCAAUCGAGAGACUGAGGUCUGCAGCGUAGAUCCUCGGGGUUAGAUACAUUUGUGCUAAGUUAUAACUUUUCAUAGACAACUUGUUGACUAUGUUAGUCAUGUAGCUUACUCCUUAUGCUAUUUACCUACGCUUAGGAUGUUGA